Non-coding RNA from Cinara cedri, 305 nucleotides. The record is from the annotation of a GenBank genome assembly. Lineage: Eukaryota; Metazoa; Arthropoda; Insecta; Hemiptera; Aphididae.
GACUGGUGCAACAUACUGGGGCCCAACUGGAGAAUCAAGACGUGGCGCCGUUGUAACGGACUGCUGGGCAAGUCGGAACAAUGUUGCAACUAAACGCGCUUGCCGCGCACAGCGUUGCUGAACGACACCGGUCAACGUUACACGCGACGAUUUUACCAUUACCGUUUUUCACCGUAUUGUACGAAAACUUUGCUACCCAAAAAUUCUGUUACAUUUUAAAACCAAUGACAAUAUUAUUACCUACUCGUUACAGACGAUUAUUUGCGAACGGUGUACAUUUUUACCGCCACGGAAAUAAACGCCGG